UUUGUUAUAUUGGUGGCCUUGUUUUGAUGAGUGGCAUCUAAAUUGAUUAAGAAUAUAUGCCAAAUCAUUUUGUCUUUCUUAAAAUUCUGGAGUUAAAUUAAUUUGUUAGAUAAACAUAUUAGUAUUUUUGUUCAUUCAACAGAAAAAAUUAUAUUUUAUAAGAUAAAAAUGAAACAUACCUGAGGGUACUGCAUUCAAUUCCGCCUUUAGAAUGUCUUUUGAAAAAGUAGAUAGAAUUAAAACAUCAGCAACCAACACUCAAGGAAUCCUCAACCUCAUAAACACAUGUUCUUAACAACCUCAACAACCAUGUUCAAUUUCAACAACACCAUAAUCAUAGAAAACAUGGUUAACUCAUGAUUCAUGGGAUUUUUUUUGUGAUUGAGAAUGUAGGUUAAGUUGAUAUUUGACAUAUUAUAAUUUAUAAUUUUUUUUUAAAUAUCAAAUUUGAUGAUUUUUUUGAACCGUAAAGGUUAUAUAAAAAUCGGCUCCGACAAUUUGGUUCGAAGGUUUUUUGGAAGGUUCAAUCCGUUUUUUUUUUUGUUUUUUACUCCGAUUUUUUGACCCAUUAACGAUUUUGAACCCGUUUGACCAAACCAUAUUUAUCUCCGGUUCCUGGUCGCAACCGUUUGAACGAACUGGUUUUUAACAACACUGUUUACAAUGAAAAUUUGAAUUAAAACAAAAGAAAAGAUGUUUAAAAUGCAUCUUUUUAAAUUUAAAAAUAUUUUUUAAUAUUUUUUUGUCUAUCACUCUUACUUAUCCCCUUUGAUUUUUCAUUUUUUUUCUUUGUAAUAUCCCAUAUCCCUAGCAUCUCGCAAUUAGUUCUAGUUGAGAUCAAUUGAGUUCCGGUUACUCUCUCUUUUGUUAGUUGUAUCAAUUGGAGCUCUUAUGUGCUCUAAAUGUUGUCAAUUGGGACCAAUAGAGUAAGCCAGUGAACUCCUGAAGAUAACUGAUUAUGGGAGGUAUAUUAAUAAAAGAGACAAAUCGAAUAUAAAUAAGUACAAAGAAGGACAUUUUUGGUAACAUUAAUAAUUGGUCAAUGGUACUGAAAGAUGAAAUAUCAAUUGAGAUAUUUUAUGUUACUACCUAAUAUUAAAUAUAUAUAAAGUAUAUGUUAUAUUUUGUGUGGUUGAAGAGAAAGAGAAAGAAAAGGAUAAGAAGAGUAGGUAGUAAGUAGAGAAGAGUUAUCAGAGAAAGAAAGAAGAGAAAGAGGGAGAGUAGAGAGAGGAAAAGAGAAGAAAAGAAGAGGGAGAAAGAGGAAGAAGGCUUGAGAGAAUAAGGGAAAGCUGCUCAUCAUCACCAUUUCUACUCGCCUGCAUCCUCAGCGCCCAACUUCACUUCUUUACUAGGUGAGUUCUUAGAUAGAUUAGGCCUUUAGGUGGAAAAUAACGCUAUGUUGGGGGGUUAGGAUUUGGGUGUGAUUGUCGUAAAAAUGACUUGUUGUUUCAUAUUCUCAUCAUGCAUGUGUUGAUACAUGUGUUGUUUGUUUAAAUUGUGAUACUUUGGGUGUUUAAUUUGAUGUGUUUAAUUUUGAUGUGUUUUAUUGUUGAAGAUAUGGAGGUUAUCACACUGAAAUCAUAACAUAUAAGUUUAUUCAUGAAUAUUCCCAUUAAUCAUGAGUUAACACCAUGUUUCUAUGAUUAUGGUGUUGUUGAAAUUGAACAUGGUUGUUGGAGGUUGUUAAGAACCGUUGUUUUUAGAGUUGAGGAUUCCUUGAAGUGUUGGUUGCUGAUGGUUUUAAUUCUAUCUACUUUUUCAAACCAGACAUUCUAAAAGGCGGAAUUGAAUGCAGUACACUCAGGUAUGUCAUUUUUAUCUUAUAAAAUAUAAUUUUUUCUGAAUGAACAAAAAAUACUAUCAUGUUUAUCUAACAAAUUAAUUUUAACUCAGAAUUUUAAGAAAGACAAAAUGAAUUCGGCAUAUAUAUUCUUAAUCAAAUUUAGAUGCCACUUCACAAAACAAGCCAACAAUAUAACCAAAGUGUUUUUUAAUAGUAUGUGUAUUUUGUUCUUCCCCAUUAAAUUUUUAAUAUUGUAUAAAAUGUAUAUACUUAUUAAUUCAUUUUUAUUACUUUUUUCAUGACAUGUGGAACAAAGAGAGUUGGGGGUGGAAGGGGGAAGUCGGUUAUGAUGAUCUUACGACGCACGUCUUUGAGUCUACCGUAGUAAAUUACUGCGGAAAGGUGAUGAUUUAGUAAGUUAUAAAGGAGGUAGUUUUUUAUAGCUAGAUCCUAUUAAAGUUUCAAUUCUUAAUCCAAUUCAUCAACGUUGUAUAUUUAAAAUUAUCCAUAUUUAGUACAUAAUGCAAAUAUAUAUUGUCCUUACUAAGGCUCUGUAAUACAGAGCCUAUUCAAAUUCUUCAAGUUGGGUUGAAAGUUUUUUCAACUCUAUUAAAAAAGUGUGACGUAAAAGUUUCAGAAACAAGUAUAUCCAACUUGGGUUUCCAUGUAACUCAUAUCGCCAUUCGGGUUCAAACAGUGAGUUCAGCAAAACAUAGAAAACGAAUGCUUCUAAAAAAGCUCUAUUGGGCAUUCGUAUUUUAUACGAUUUUAAAUGAUCCCACCGGUUGAUGAAUCCUGAAUAGUUUCAUGGACUUUCCUGUCUAUACGAGGUUGUAUCAAUACCACCAGAGAUAUAUGGUGUAAAAAUAGGAUUUUUUGUGAUUGAGAAGUAGUUAAGUUUUGAUAUGACAUAUUAAAAUUUAAAUAAUUUUUUUUUAAAUUAUCAAUUUGAUGAAUUUUUUUUGAACCGGUACGGUUUUUUAUAAAAAUCGGCUCGACUAUUUGGUUCGAAUGUUUUUGGAAGGUUCAAAUCCGUUUUUUUGUUUUUUUUACUCCGCUUUUUGCCCGCAUUAAGAUUUUAAAGGUGACCAAACGCAGAUUUAAUCUCCGUUCCUGUCUAAACCGGUUGAACGGCUGAUUCGGUCCUGGUUUUAAAACACUGUCAAAAGGGAAACUUUGAAUUUAAAAUUAAAAUUAAGAUGUUAAAUGCAUCUUUCCAUAAUUUAAAAUAUUUUUCUUAUAUUUUUUUGUCUAUCACUCGUUGCUUAUCCCUUUGGAUUUUUCGUUUUUUCUUCUGUAAUAUCCCAUAUUCACACGCUUCGAUUCUGCAUUAGUUUGUCAGUUGAGAUCAAUCGAGUUUCCGGUGUACUCUAUCUGUUGUUAGUUUGUAAGUAAUUGUGAGACUUUCGUGUGUCUAAAUGUUACUCAACUUGCCAUCCAUUGAUAGGCAUGAACUCUGAAGAUGUAAUUAUUAAUAAAAGAGACAAUCGAAUAUAAUAAGUACAAAGAGGACAUUUUGGUACACUUAAUAAUGGUCAAUUGUACUGAAAGAGAAAUAUCAAUUGAGAUAUUUAUGUUACUUACUAAUAAAAUAUAUAUAAAGAAUUAUAUAUUUGUGUGUUGUAAGAGAAGAGAAAAAAGGAUAAGAAGAGAGGUAGUAAGUAAGAAAGAGUUAUCAGAAAGAAAGAAAAGAAGAAAGGGAAAGUAGAAAGAGGAAAAGAGAAGAAAGAAGUAGAGAGAAAGAAGGAACGAAAGGCUUGGAGGAGAAAAGGAAAGCUCAUCAAAUUUUCUACUCAUCAAUCCUCCCAACUUCAUCUUUCUCUACUAGGUGAGUUUCUAAUAGAUUAGCUUUAGGGGAAAAUAACCUAUGUUGGGGUUGGAUUUGUGUGAAUUUGUAUGAACUUGUUGUGUUCAUAUUCCUCAUACCAUGCUAUGUGUUGAUAUCAUUUGUUGUUGUUUUAAUUGUGAUACUGGUGUUUUAAUUUGAUGUGUUAAUUUUGAGUGUUUAAUUUUGAUGUGUUUUUAUUGUUGAAGAUAUGGAGUUAAUCAGCAUGGAAAUCAAUAACAAUAUAAGUUAUUCAUGAAAAUUUCCUUGAAUCAGAAAAAUGGUUACGNUGUUCUACUCCUGACUCCAUGCUAUUGCAGUGAACUCUCUGAAGAUGUUAAUUAUUAAUAAAAGAGACAUACGAAUAUUAAUAAGUACAAAGAGGACAUUUUUGGUAACAUUAAUAAUUGGUCAAUGGUACUGAAGAUGAAAAUAUAUCAAUUGAGAUAUUUUAUGUUAACUACUACUAAUAAUCACUACACAAAUAUACUAUCACCGCUCAACAAGUUCAUAACAAAUUCACACAAAUCCUAACCCCCAAACAUAGGUUAUUUUCCCCCAAAGGCUAAAUCUAUCUAAAAACUCACCUAGUAGAAGAAUAAGAUGAAGUUGGUGAGGAUGAUGAGUUGAAAAUGGUGAUGAUGAGCUUUUCCUUUUCUCCUCCAAGCCUUUCUUCCUUCUUUCCCUCUACUUCUUUCUUCUCUUUUCCUCUUCUCUACUC
This 4329-nucleotide long non-coding RNA is filed under the name Lathyrus oleraceus (garden pea). Its description in RNAcentral is "Pisum sativum (pea) long non-coding RNA (PSAT_LNC040293)". The record is from RNAcentral. Lineage: Eukaryota; Viridiplantae; Streptophyta; Magnoliopsida; Fabales; Fabaceae.